CCGAAAAAAAAAAAGAGGGGAAAGGGGAGUGAAUUUCUUCCAUCUUCAACCUCAAGCUUCAAGGACUCCAUAGCCAAUCUUUCUUCACAACUUCAUCAAAGAUUCGGGUUUCAAGAAGGAAUUGGGGAAAAUCCACCAAAAGCAUCUUUAAGACAAUAUUAAUUACUUUGGAGAUGGAGUUCAGCGUUAGUUCUUGCAGUCCGACGAACUCCCCUAGUUCGUCGGAAGGUGUAGGUCGUGGCAUGGACUACGACGUUUUUGUACAGCAGAUGAGUGGCGCCGACCCUUAUGCGCCUGGCUAUGCUCCUACAGCUCCCAAUAGCUCACCGGCAGUAAAUAGUGUUCUUCCUAUUCCUGAGGGUCCUGACGUACAGGCCACUUUUGGUUUUUACCCCAUCGAGGUGCUGGUAGGAAGUAACCCCCUAGAGUUUAUAGUUUAUUAUCCUUACCCUUGGGACCCGAGUCCUCCCGAGAGUUGGGAGGAGUGGUCUAUGGUCAUAGUCGCUUCCCGGUUCCUAGACCAUAUCACAUGGUACGAAGGGGAAUGGCAUCUUGUCUGGGGUGAGUUUACGGGUCCGACGUAUCUCCAGAUCGUGUAAGCAGGAUGCA
Long non-coding RNA from Ipomoea triloba (trilobed morning glory), 609 nucleotides. RefSeq lists it as uncharacterized. Lineage: Eukaryota; Viridiplantae; Streptophyta; Magnoliopsida; Solanales; Convolvulaceae. The transcript is spliced from 3 exons. The record is from RefSeq and is a predicted model, not a curated record.